CGCCUGUUUAUUAAAAACAUGGCUUAUUGUUAAUAAUUUUAAGUUUAACCUGCCCAAUGAAUAGAAUUAUUUUAAUGGCCGCGGUAUAUUGACCGUGCAAAGGUAGCAUAAUCCUUAGUUUUUUAAUUGAAAGCUUGUAUGAAGGGUUUGAUGAAAAAAUUACUGUCUCUAUUUAAAUUUACUAGAAGUUUAUUUUUAAGUAAAAAAGCUUAAAUAUUUAUAGAAGACGAGAAGACCCUAUAGAGUUUUAUAUUUAUUAUAUUAUAUAUGAAUUAGUAUAUAUUAAGAGUAAAUUUAAUAAUUAUUUAAUUGGGGAGAUAGAAAAAUUAGUUAAACUUUUUUUGUAUAUAAACAUUUAUUUAUGAGAAAUUGAUCCUUUAAUUUAGAUUAUAAGAAUAAGUUACCUUAGGGAUAACAGCGUUAUUUUUUUUUAGAGUUCAAAUUAAAAAAAAAGAUUGCGACCUCGAUGUUGGAUUAAAAUAAAUUAUUGGUGUAGGAGCUAAUAAAUUAGGUCUGUUCGACCUUUAAAAUUUUACAUGAUC
This 542-nucleotide ribosomal RNA is filed under the name Crooktacalles abruptus. RNAcentral's name for it is "partial 16S ribosomal RNA". It matches the Rfam family "Bacterial large subunit ribosomal RNA", at positions 1797 to 2605 of the family's 2925-position model. The record is from RNAcentral. Lineage: Eukaryota; Metazoa; Arthropoda; Insecta; Coleoptera; Curculionidae.